UACAGAGGGUGCAAGCGUUGUUCGGAAUUAUUGGGCGUAAAGCGCGUGUAGGCGGCAUGGCAAGUCGGGUGUGAAAACUCGAGGCUCAACCUCGAGAUGUCGGCGGAAACCGUCUGGCUAGAGUCCGGAAGAGGAGAGUGGAAUUCCUGGUGUAGCGGUAAAAUGCGCAGAUAUCAGGAAGAACACCUAUGGCGAAGGCAGCUCUCUGGGACGGUACUGACGCUGAGACGCGAAAGCGUGGGGAGCGAACAGG
Molecule: ribosomal RNA, 253 nt
Filed under: uncultured bacterium
Lineage: Bacteria
Description: partial 16S ribosomal RNA
Rfam family: Bacterial small subunit ribosomal RNA
Source: RNAcentral